AGCAUCGCCUGCUUCUCACAGCUCUCGUCUUCCUCCGAUAUCUCACUAUCUUGCAUCCCCUCGAGAUUAACAUUCUGGAGCCCCAUUCUUUCUCCUCUUAAGCAUCUGGAAGACGAGCCAGACCUGUAAUUGCUGUGAAUAUGACUGCUGACACUGGUAGCAGCUCUUGAACAUAAUAAUGAAGUCAAAGGAGAGAGUCCUGAAUUGAUUAAAUAUACUGGCAGCAACUUUGAAGGGCCUUCAUUGUUUCGCGAUCUUGCAGGGCCCUUUGUGAAAGCCGCAGCUGCAGCCUCCCCAAUGGCCAUGGUUACUGCAGACUGUACUGUGCAGCACAUGCGUAGUUGCUUCUUGUAAUAAGCUUCUCGUGUAUUACUUCACAAUGGAGUAUAUGAGAUCAUUGUACUUUGUUCCUUUUUUUAAGAUGGAUCAUUGAAAAAUCAAACCAAAACA
Long non-coding RNA from Cucurbita maxima (winter squash), 450 nucleotides. RefSeq lists it as uncharacterized. The transcript is spliced from 3 exons. NCBI's taxonomy places the organism in Eukaryota, Viridiplantae, Streptophyta, Magnoliopsida, Cucurbitales, Cucurbitaceae. The record is from RefSeq and is a predicted model, not a curated record.